AUGAGGUACUAUUUUGCGGAGAAUCCCAUAUACCCCGAGUACUACUUUCGGCGCCAUUUUAGAAUGAGCAUCAUGUUGUUCAAACGCAUUACAGAGAAACUAGCGAGCCAUGAUUGGUUUUUCCAGCAACGGAGGAAUGCUGCCGGAGAACUCAGGCAUAGCACCUUUCAAAAGGUGACCGCCGCUUUGUGUAUGUUGGCAUAUGGUAUUACGGCGGAUCUCGUUGAUGACCACUUGGCCGUGGGUGAGAGUCAAGUCAUCAUGUGUGUCAAGCACUUCGCAGUCGGAAUUAUGCAAGUGUUUGGCCCGGAAUAUUUGAGAGCUCCCAAUGUUGAAGACACCACAAGGCUUCUGAAGAUGAACAAGCUCGCGGGUUCCCCUAGCCGCUCGAAUCGAGAUUGA
RNAcentral lists this ribosomal RNA (402 nucleotides) under Triticum aestivum (bread wheat). RNAcentral's name for it is "partial small subunit ribosomal RNA". The record is from RNAcentral. Lineage: Eukaryota; Viridiplantae; Streptophyta; Magnoliopsida; Poales; Poaceae.